UGUUAGCAUGCCAAGCAAUAUGGUUAGAGGCAUUUCAUCCAUCUUCACAUUCUGCCUUUCUUCAUUUUGGAUUCAGUAAAAUAAGUACCAGUUCAGCCCUGGGGUUGAUAUAGUUGACUUACUCCAAACCCCAAAAUUGCUAACCUUGUGCCAAAAUUUGAAACCAAUAUGGUAUUCUACAGAAAUAUUCAUCACAAGGCAGCAUUUUACUAACUUUAACAUUAUAUCUUUUCUUUGAGACUCAACCUAAUAUUUAGAGUUAACAUUCCUUGGACUUCUGUUGUCUUUGUAUUUGAAUUUGUCAUUUGCUAUUGAUUUGCCUGUUAUUGCAUAGUCACAUGGUCCUUCCCCAUUCAUUCAACUAAUACUUUGGAGUAUUUAAUUCUUGGAUUAUCUUAACCCUUUUGAUACCAAACCCGGCUGAAAUCACCUCUGGUUCUGUGGUACAAAUGUCUUGUUUUCAUAAGUUUUGAAUUAAAAUAUU
Long non-coding RNA from Octopus sinensis (East Asian common octopus), 484 nucleotides. RefSeq lists it as uncharacterized. Lineage: Eukaryota; Metazoa; Mollusca; Cephalopoda; Octopoda; Octopodidae. The transcript has 3 exons. The record is from RefSeq and is a predicted model, not a curated record.